AUUAAAAUUAGUCUUCUUAUAUUUGUGAUGCAGCUUUAAUUUUUCCCAACAGGUUAAAGUGAUGAACUUCAACCCAUAUCCCAUCUGUCCACAAAAGAAGCAAAGUAUGUCAUCAAGAGAAAGAUCAAACUGACCAUGAAAGGUAAACACUGUGAAAGGACUCAGGACACUGAGGCAGAAGCAGUAAGAAUAAUUAUUUGAACACCGAAUGUGGAACUCAGAAUCACAUUCCUGGACUUCGGCACAAAAACAACAAAGGCAAAACCUACCAUGCUGGUAUCACAAGCGUACAAGCAAUUAUGUACCUCAUUCAUACUUCAAUUUUAUUCACCUGUGAUUAUGCAUCAUUAUUUUAACUAUACUUUUGAAAGGACUCUGUAACUAUGCUCACCAAACAAAACAGACAUUUAAUUAUUUUAUUAUAUUAUGUAUGGGAGAAUAUUAAGCAAAAG
Molecule: long non-coding RNA, 452 nt
Filed under: Fukomys damarensis (Damara mole-rat)
Lineage: Eukaryota; Metazoa; Chordata; Mammalia; Rodentia; Bathyergidae
Description: lncRNA (ENSFDAG00000023617.1)
Source: RNAcentral